UGUGUGAAUGUUUAUCCUGAAAGGUAACUGAAUGAAUGUCACAGGUGUACAGUGAUUUCCUUUUUCCCUGCAGAAGUCACAGUUUCAGGAGGUUUUUUCAUCUCACUGCAAGAAUGUCCACCCUAAGGCAGCCAAUUACAUUAAAGAAAAUUGGAUUACAUGUGGUCAGAUGUGGUCGUCCUUUGGAAGGCGGUUCUUCCAUGAGGACAGUGAAACAAAUAAUUUAGCUGAACGAUACCUUGAUGGGCUGCAAGAAGCUGGACGUUUGACCAACCCAAGGGCAGAGAAGGAGUCAACAGGUCUUAGGGCAGCUGAGGAACUUCUUCAAAAGGGCUGGAUAGAGCGAUGUCACUGGAUGGAUGACUACAGAUGCCUUGUACCGUCAACCAGCAGAGAAAACUGGUGGUACACUGUGGUUCUUCCAGAGUACACUUGUGAAUGUGUUGCAGCUUCUAAUGGAGGUCUUUGCAAACACCUCCACAUUGCUUUGGAAGCUGCAAAACAAAAGGGUCUUGACGUGGACUCUAUGCAGAAGAGACUUGUCCAGGAGCUGCUUCAGUGGGGAAAGACUUCCCAGUGCAAAGACAUGGUCUUAGUUGAGAGGUUUUUUUUUUCAAAUGUGUUUAGCUGCAUUGAUGUUAAGUACAAGAAAUGUUCCUGCAUUGCAGCUAGCCAUGGGAGAUUGUGCAUCUGUACUCAAGUUUUUAAUAGAAUCUUUGCAGACACUGAUGUACAGGACCUAGAAGAGCAGACCCCACAUGACCUUGUAGAAGCUUGCCAGAGCAAUGCCACACAGCAAAUUAUUGAAAGACUUUACUUAUGGUCCAAGGGUACAGACUUUCAUGAAACAGCAGAAUUAAAACAAACCUUGGAAAAAGCACAGCAAAUUGCUUUUGGAAAUUUUGAGUCAAAAUAUAGUCAGAGAAGGAUCCAUGUAUUGCACCCAUGGAGAAAAAACAAGCAAAAUCGAUUUGUAAUGAAAUAUCACAAUUAUUAUAAGUCCAAAAAUACCAAACAUUUUUAAAACUGAGAACAUCGACAGGAAUUUUACCAUUAGCAGCCAUAAGAGGAAAUGAAAUGAAAUGAAAUGUCUGUUGUCAGAAAGCCAUGUACUGAUGUUUUUCAGCUCUGCACUCAAGAUGCUCUCUGCUGUGUCUUUGUUCUUAUUGGACACCAGAAGAGCAGAGUCAUCAGCAUAAAGAAAAAGUUGGCAGGAGAAAACUGAUUUUAUGUCAUUAACAUGAAACAGCAAGAACAGCAACGGAUCCAGCACACUUCCUUGGGGAACUCCACAUGUUAUGGCUUUAUCUACUGAAGGUGAAGGGAUCUAACUGGACCCCUUUGUCUUCAUAGAAAUUAUGUUCUUGAGUACUCCAGAAUUGGCUGGAAGUGUGGUAACUAGGUUGUUAGCAACUGUAGUAAACUAUAUUCAAUUCAUUGGCUACCUGUUCUCUAUCAAAUACGUUACCCUCCAAUCAAAUGCUACUGGCUUUAUUUACACUACUGCCAGUAGAACCCAUUUCUUUGAGCGAUUGCCACAACUUUUGUUUCUUUAACGUUCCAUUUUUUUUACGCUCUCUGUAAAUACUGUUCCUGGAGUCUGCUCCCAUUCAUGUGCCUAAAUAAUAAAAAUCACCAUCACAAAGAAAGCACAAGUAAUUGAGAAUCAUCAAAUGUGCAUAGAGUGAUAAUCUACUUAGA
Acipenser ruthenus (sterlet) is the source of this 1701-nucleotide long non-coding RNA. RefSeq lists it as uncharacterized. The record is from RefSeq and is a predicted model, not a curated record. NCBI's taxonomy places the organism in Eukaryota, Metazoa, Chordata, Actinopteri, Acipenseriformes, Acipenseridae. The transcript has 3 exons.